GGGGCUUGGGGCGAGGAACAUUAUCGAAAACUAUGGGAAAGAACACAUCCAGAAAGUGUGAAGAAACCGCUAUCUCCUAUGCCGUAUGAAAAGGUGUCUCCAGAAUACCGCUACCACGACCACAACAAUCUAAGCACAAAGAAUAGAAGCAAUGCGACCGAAGCC
Molecule: long non-coding RNA, 165 nt
Organism: Manduca sexta (tobacco hornworm)
Lineage: Eukaryota; Metazoa; Arthropoda; Insecta; Lepidoptera; Sphingidae
Exons: 3
Source: RefSeq, a predicted model, not a curated record